CUUUAAUAGUCCUGUAUUAGCGGACACACACAGACCUCUGCAGCGCAGGCAAUCCCGCUAUGCUUCUUUGGAAAUCCCAGCAGCUCCCUCUUUCUGACACUCUCCGGGGUGUUGUUGGGUCAAAGACGUGACAACAGUCUUCUGCCUCCACGGUAAAUGCUCCAGACAAAGCCCUGGACCUAUCAGGUGGCGACACGCAUCUCUGCGUGCCUGGCAGAUACCUCAGCUUUGAUGUCAGCCCACCACCUUAAGCUCAACCUCGACAAGACGGAGCUGCUCUUCCUCUUGGGGAAGACCUGCCCGCUCCAAGAUCUCUUCAUCACAGUCGACAGCUCCACAGUGUCAACCACCCAGAGUGCAAAGAACCUUGGCGUGACUAGGAUCUGCAAACAUCGAAACAGUGACUCACUCCUGCAGGUUCAUCCGCAGAGGACGACCUUUCCUCACACAGAAGCAGCGCGGGUCCAAAUCCAGGCACUCGUCAUAUCAGGUCUUGCAACUUACCCAGAAUGCCGAAGCCCGCCUGGUGUUCAACCUUCCCGAGUUCUCCCAUGUCACCCCACUCUCCACUGGCUUCCAGUCGAAGCUCGCAUCCACUACAAUACCAUGGUGCUUGCCUAUGGAGCAGCAAGGAGAACUGCCCCUCCCGAACUUCAGGUUGUGCUCAAACCCUACAUCCCAACCUGAACACUCAGUUCUGCCACCUCUUGUCUCCCUGCGGGAGGUCAGCUCCCGCUCAGCCCAGUAAAAGCUCUUCUCUGUCCUGGCACCCUAAUGGUGUAACCAGCUUCCCCCUGAUGCUACGACAGAAGAGUCCCCAUCCAUUAUCCAAAAAUGUCUGAAAUACUACCUCGUCAAAGAGUACCUUAAAUAAGACAUCGCAGUCUUAUCCCCCCCCUCUCGUCCCCAAAAUUAAAUAAACCUUGCAUUUUCUACUAGCACUGCUGAUAACUUCUUUAUUUAGGAAAAAUGUACUUACUAUGACUGUGAUAUGUGGUUCUUACCUAGUUAUCUUAAGAUGGAUGCACUAACUGUAAGUCGCUCUGGAUAAUUGUUUUCUAAAUUACUAAAAUGUCAAUCUUUCAGGGAUUUUUUUUUGUAUUGCUUGUUAAACAAAAUCGCUUACUCUAAAAAUAAUAUUUCCCUUUUCUUUUUUUGAGCAUCCAAUAUGUAUUGUUCAUAUUAUACAGUAUUUUUUUAUCAAGGAUGCCAAUAAUUAUGGGUCAGACUGUAUAUUAAUAUGUAUAUGUGAAUAGUGUGUAAAUAUUAAUGUAUAAUUGUAACACAUAUUCACACACAGAAAUCAUAAAACAGUG
Oncorhynchus masou masou (cherry salmon) is the source of this 1316-nucleotide long non-coding RNA. RefSeq lists it as uncharacterized. Lineage: Eukaryota; Metazoa; Chordata; Actinopteri; Salmoniformes; Salmonidae. The transcript is spliced from 3 exons. The record is from RefSeq and is a predicted model, not a curated record.